UACAGAGGGUGCGAGCGUUGUUCGGAAUUAUUGGGCGUAAAGCGCAUGUAGGCGGUCUGUUAAGUCGCGUGUGAAAGCUCCAGGCUCAACCUGGAAAGUGCGCGCGAAACUGGCGGACUUGAGUGCCGGAGAGGGUGGCGGAAUUCCCGGUGUAGAGGUGAAAUUCGUAGAUAUCGGGAGGAACACCAGAGGCGAAGGCGCCCACCUGGACGGACACUGACGCUGAGACGCGAAAGCGUGGGGAGCAAACAGG
This 253-nucleotide ribosomal RNA is filed under the name uncultured bacterium. RNAcentral's name for it is "partial 16S ribosomal RNA". It matches the Rfam family "Bacterial small subunit ribosomal RNA", at positions 524 to 776 of the family's 1533-position model. The record is from RNAcentral.